RNAcentral lists this ribosomal RNA (440 nucleotides) under uncultured bacterium. Its description in RNAcentral is "partial 16S ribosomal RNA". It matches the Rfam family "Bacterial small subunit ribosomal RNA", at positions 339 to 795 of the family's 1533-position model. The record is from RNAcentral.
CUACGGGUUGCACCAGCAGGGAAUAUUGCACAAUGGACGGAAGUCUGAUGCAGCGACGCCGCGUGGAUGAUGAAGGCCUUCGGGUUGUAAAAUCCUUUUCAGGGAGAAGAGGAAGGACGGUAUCCCUGGAAUAAGCGUCGGCUAACUACGUGCCAGCAGCCGCGGUAAUACGUAGGACGCAAGCGUUAUCCGGAUUUACUGGGCGUAAAGCGUCUGUAGGCGGUUUAGUAAGUUUGAUGUGAAAGCUCCAGGCUCAACUUGGAGAGUGCAUUGAAUACUGUUAGACUUGAGGGGAUCAGAGGAAAGCGGAAUUUCCGGUGUAGCGGUAAAAUGCGCAGAUAUCGGAAAGAACACCAGUGGCGAAGGCGGCUUUCUGGGAUCAACCUGACGCUGAGAGACGAAAGCUAGGGUAGCGAACAGGAUUAGAUACCCCGGUAGUC